This is a long non-coding RNA of Pan troglodytes (chimpanzee), 1555 nucleotides long. The record is from Ensembl. NCBI's taxonomy places the organism in Eukaryota, Metazoa, Chordata, Mammalia, Primates, Hominidae.
UUGAAAGAUGCCAAGAGACCAUAUUGGUUUCACAACCUCUAGAAGACCUUGAUCCUUUCCUGAUCACCCAUGCCAGUGAGCACACAGGGAUUUCCUGAAGGACCUUUGAAAUAAAGAACAUUUCAUGGCAGAGGGUCACCCUUGACAUUCUGCCUCGUGACACUGUAAUAAAGCCAUUUAGCCAGGCAGCUUCAGAGAGAGGGCUCAGCCCAGACUAUUUUCUAUGCUGUGACAGAUUCAGCUCCUCCAUGGAUCAGCAUACUCAGAUAAAGGCCACUGUCCAGAUGACUUUGAUGUGUGGCAUUUCCUUCUCAACACCAAGUUUCUGGCAUCACUGGAACAGAAAUAAUCAUGGAGACAUCCACAUCAGCUCCUCAGCAGCUAAGUCUCAAAGUAAGUCUUUUUGUUUUGUUUUGUUUUGUUUUUUGAGAUGGAGUCUCGCUCUGUCACCCAGGCUGGAGUAUAGUGGCUUGAUCUUGGCUCACUGCAAGCUCCACCUCCCGGGUUCACACCAUUCUCCUGCCUCAGCCUCCCAAGUAGCUGGGACUGCAGGCACCUGCCACCACGCCCAAGUAAUACUUUUUUUGUAUUUUUAGUAGAGACGGGGUUUCACCGUGUUAGCCAGGAUGGUCUCGAUCUCCUGACCUCGUGAUCCACCCGCCUCGGCCUCCCAAAGUGCUGGGAUUACAGGCGUGAGCCACCAUGCCCAGCCCAAAGUAAGUCUUUUAAUUCCCAGUCUUGGACCACUGUGCAAGACUAAUCGCAAAGUCCCAUGCAAUGCAAAGGGGCUAGGAAAUGUAGUUUCCCUAACUACAAAAAGGUGAAGAGAACUGGUGACAUUGAAUUCUAAUAAUAAUAAUGUUUACCUCAAAACUCCAUCAAAAUAAGACAAGUUUAACUUGAAACUGCACCUGUCUGUACUGGGUUGAAUAAUAUUCCUCAAAAUUUAUGUCUACCAGGAACUUCAGCGUAGGAUCUUUUUGGGAAAUAGGGUCUUUGAAGAUGUAGUUAGUUAAGAUGAGGUCAUACUGCUUUAGGAUGGGCCCUAAACCCAAAGACUGGUGUCCUUAGAAGAAGGUCAUGUGAAGAUUUAGAGAGGCACCCAGGGAGGCUAUCUGUGACAAUGGAGAUAGAGAUUGAAGGGAUGCAUCUACAAGUAAAAGAAUGCCAUUGGUGGCCAGCAGCCACCAGAAACUGGACAUGGAACAGAUUCCCUUCAGAUCAUCCAGAAGAAGCCAGCCUUGUCAAAACCUUGAUUUCAGAAUUCUAGCUUCUAGAACUGUGAAAGAAUAAAUUUCUGCUACUUUAAGCCAAGAAGUUUGUGGUAAUCUGUUAUGGCAACCCUAAGAAAUUAAUAUACCAUCCCCUAAAAAAAAAAAAAAAGUAGUAGGUAGACAGUUAAUCACUUCUCACUUGUUCCUGACCUACAGACAAGUGCAGAAACACAGUCACAGCAGCUCCCCGUAGGGGCUUGGCUUUGUUUUAACUCAGGAUAUUCAUUUUGAAGAAAUAGUCAUAAAAUACAUUACGCUGAACUAUUUAAACUCAACGGGGC